GUCAGGAUGGCCGAGUGGUCUAAGGCGCCAGACUCAAGUUCUGGUCUUCGAAGGAGGGCGUGGGUUCAAAUCCCACUUCUGACA
Molecule: transfer RNA, 84 nt
Filed under: Lactuca sativa (garden lettuce)
Lineage: Eukaryota; Viridiplantae; Streptophyta; Magnoliopsida; Asterales; Asteraceae
Also listed under: 1 other name
Rfam family: tRNA
About the family: Transfer RNA (tRNA) molecules are approximately 80 nucleotides in length. Their secondary structure includes four short double-helical elements and three loops (D, anti-codon, and T loops).
Source: Rfam by way of RNAcentral